RNAcentral lists this unclassified non-coding RNA (254 nucleotides) under Mucoromycotina sp. Its description in RNAcentral is "partial contains small subunit ribosomal RNA, internal transcribed spacer 1, and 5.8S ribosomal RNA". The stretch from base 1 to 47 matches the Rfam family "Eukaryotic small subunit ribosomal RNA", at positions 1785 to 1831 of the family's 1831-position model. The record is from RNAcentral. Lineage: Eukaryota; Fungi; Mucoromycota.
AAAGUCGUAACAAGGUUUCCGUAGGUGAACCUGCGGAAGGAUCAUUCACAAUAAGUGUUCAAUGGCACUUUUUCAAUCCAUUACCCACCUUGUGUGCAAUGUCAGGAGGGGGGGGACCCUCUCUCUCUCUCUCUCGCGGAGGGAGGAAGGGGUUCUCUUUUUCCAUACAUACAUCAUGUUCUUUCAGUAUCAGUCUACAUCAAUUGAGUAUAAAAUCUCUAAUACAACUUUCAACAACGGAUCUCUUGGCUCUC